Long non-coding RNA from Brassica rapa (field mustard), 3501 nucleotides. RefSeq lists it as uncharacterized. The record is from RefSeq and is a predicted model, not a curated record. Lineage: Eukaryota; Viridiplantae; Streptophyta; Magnoliopsida; Brassicales; Brassicaceae.
UACAUUAAUAUAUUUAUUUAUCAUUUAUAAAAUGAAAAAAAAAUUAUCUUAUUUUUAUCUAUUAUAUUAUCAUAAGCAAAUUAAAAAAGUAUUAUAUUGAGCUAAAUAUGAUAAAAUUGUAUUAAAUUGAUAAUUUUUUAUAUUUUAUUUUCAUAAGUAUAAAAUAUUUAUCUUCAAAAAUAAAAAUAUAAUUCGUUGGUAAGAUGGGCUAACAUUAGCAAAAUUAACAUGUAUUUUAUUUGAUUCAUUGUAACUACUUUAAUCAUGAUAUCUUUUCAUUUAAAAUAUAAAUAUAUAUAUAUAUAUAUAUAUAUAUUUAUAUAUAUAUAUUUAUAUAUUAUAUUUUAAAACUCUAAUAAAUAUAUUGAAAUAUAUUUUUUAAAUACCUUAAUUUUCAAAACAAAUUAUAUAAAUAUUUUCACUAAUUUUCUGAUUAGCGAUGAACUAUUAUUAUGCAUUAAUACAUAUUAAGUUGUCGUUUAUAAAAUAAAAAAUUAAACUAUAUUUUCUUUUAUCUACUUUAUAAUCAUAUUCAUCAUGUUAAAAUACAAUUAUUAUUUUGAAAAAAAAUAUGAUAAAAGUAUAUUAAUUUGAUAAAUUUAUAAAUUUUAUUUUCUCAAAUAUAAACAAUUUAUGCUAAAAAUAUAAUAUGAUGACAAAACGGCUUAAAAUUAGAAAACUAUAUAAUACAUGUCUAAAAUUAACAUAUCUUAGAUUUUUUAUAUACAAUAAUAUAUUAUCUAAAAUAAAUAAGCAUAAAAGAUAUUGGUAAAAGAAAAUUUUGCUUUGAAAUGCGGGUUAGAAUUGAACAUAAAUUAAAUACAAAAUAGUUUUAAAAUAUGUUUUCUGAAAAAUAUAGUAAUAUGUUUAAUAAGUAAAUGAAAAUACAGUAAGAUAAAUAUAUAAUAAAAAACGACAAAUACAUAUGACAGUUUUAAAUAAUUUAUUAAUUAUAACAUGUAUAUUAUAAAUUGUUGUAUUUUAAAUAGUUAUAUAACUUAUAAGUAUAUGAAACAUUAAAAUAUACCAUUAAUAAUCUAAAACAAAUAUAUAUAUAAUAUAUAUAUAUAUAUAUAUAUAUAUAUAUAUAUAUAUAUAAGUGAUAACAAUACAUGCGCGGUUGCGUGGAUCAAGAUCUAGUAUUAGAUUUAAAACCCUUAACUCAAUUUGAAAUAUGAAUGUGAGUAUUUUGACUUGAAGAAAUAUACAUUUUAAAAUUAUUAUUUAACUACAAAAUUAAAACCGAACAUACCAAAUAUAAUAUUUUAUACCAUACUUUUUAACCUUUUUUUAUAAAACAAUUUUUUAAGUAUGUAUGAUUGACUCAUUAAAAAAAUUAUAUUAAAAUUGUUUUAGCACUUUCCUUCACUUCGUUUGAAUGCAACUAUACUUUUUUUUUGGCUCAACAACAAUUUUUCAUUAUCCAAAUGUGAUUACAUGAUUACAACCUUAUGAGAUUUUAAACCCAACACUAGAUCUUGAUCCGUGCGAACAACCCAACACUAGAUCUUGACAUGUGCGUUCGCACGGGUGUUUUAUUCAUUUUUGAUGUAAUAAAAUUAUAAAUGAUCAAAAGUUUUAAAUGUUCCAAUAUAUGUUUUUUAUUCAUAUUGAUCUAUUUUCAUUGACAAAAAAUUAUUUUAUUGAUGUAGUAUUUGCUUUAAUAAAUUAUUAAACUUAAACCUAAAUUUAUUAUUUUUGACCCUUAUACCUAAAUUGCUUUGGUUAUGGUUAGAUAGAAAUAAAUGGUGUGGUGUGUUGAUUUUGUUAGAUAAAUGUCUACUCCGACAGCUUGGUGUAAUCAAUGCCUUGUAGGAUUCUUGAAUCUAUAAAAAACGCGUUCUUUCUCUUCUCACUUCCCCACUUUUCUUCUUUCAUUUCUCUCUUUCUUUUAUUUGCAGCUUGAGCUUGCCAUUGUGAUCUUUGCUUCUCCACUUGGUUAACUCUUCAAGCUUCUGGGUUUACCAGCUAAUUAAUAUACGUCAAGUUUAAUGUUGAUGGUUAACCAAUAACUAAAGCUGACUCUACCUCUCUGCAAUGGACAACUACAUCAAACAUUCCAUACCUACUUUGAUGAAUCAUAUGUUCACCAAGGUUAGUUAGCUGAGAUCAGGAACCAAUGGUCUCUUACUUAACGUGAAAGUCAUCACUCAAGAAGAUGGUGAUGCAGAUAGUACAUGUGUAUAAAUAUUUUCUUUUGUAAAUGACCAUGUAUGUAAUGCAUAUAAGGAAUGUGUACACGUGGAUAUUGUAAAAAUGUUGUACAUGAGGGUCUUAGAACAUUUUGUGUACAUGUAGAUAUUCUUUUGACUGUACAUAUGUGAAAAUAAAUAGAAAAUGGAUCAACGGAUUUGUAAGUCUCUACACCGAUAAUUAUAUUUCUUGUACCUCACACGUGAAUAUUUUGUAUGUUCCUUUGUUGACCUCUAUUUGUGUAGGAAUAUACACACAACAUUUGAUUAUAACUAAAAUUUCAUGUUUGCGUCUAGACACCUUUGUUGGAAAUGUUCUGAUAUGCUCAUGAUAAAAAAAAAUGUUUUACUAUAACCAUGUACAAUGUGUAUAAAAUGGAAAGGAAGUGUUCUUAUGGAUUUAGUAGACAAGCACUAAGCUAAAAAAGCUGAUGAAUCUGAACAAAGUUCUUAUCAUGUAUGCACGAGGCUCUAUAAUCGUGUGAUAUGUGUAUAGGAUGGAGAAACGAGACUGGCUAAUUAGGUGUACAUGUAAUUUUUUGUUAAACGAUGUACAUGUGGAUGUUUAUAGAACAGUAUACACGUCAAUCGUGUACAUGUGGAUAGUCAAAAUUAUGUGUACACAUAGAUACCCAAACUACACUCUUGCAAAAUUUAUACUUACACAUUUUAUACACACCUUUAAACGAAAUUGAAUACUAAUAAAGGAAUUUUGGAUAUCUAUGAAUCCAAAAAUUCUUGUAAAUACAAUUAAACAAAAUUGUGAUUUUAAUGGAAGAUUAAAACAUUGGCUAAUUUAGCGUGGGAACACCAAAAUCACACAUAGGGUCGUGUCAUCUUUGAACCUGACAGAACCCAGAGAACUUCCGCCGCACUUUGUCGAAGAGUUGUCGCAGUCUUGUCCCAAUCCCUCAUGAUUCACGUCGUCUGCCUUCAGUCAUGGCUGAGACGGAGAUUGAGCCGUAGCGGAGUAACAUUGGGUCUUUUUGACACUGUCUGUUCGCCUUCGUUUGUCUAUAUCGUUCAGGGUCGUGUCGGUUUCUGGUCUUUUCUCAUGGUGGUUCUUGCAGGAGAAGGAAAGUGGAAAUGGAGAAGAUUGAGCUUUAGGGAUUAUAAGUAUCAUUACUUCUUUUGUUUGGCUAGAAAUCGAUAAAGUGACAACAGUAUGAGUUUUUUUAUUUUAAAAAAUAAAAUAAAAAAGAAACUAAAGUUAGACACAUAAACCAAGACUAGUGGAAAAAGUUAGAAAGAUAAUGCUUUAGUUAGGAAAAAGUACAUUAGUAACCUAAAGUGACUCAGAGUGAUAUUA